RNAcentral lists this ribosomal RNA (292 nucleotides) under uncultured bacterium. Its description in RNAcentral is "partial 16S ribosomal RNA". It matches the Rfam family "Bacterial small subunit ribosomal RNA", at positions 505 to 796 of the family's 1533-position model. The record is from RNAcentral.
GUGUCAGCCGCCGCGGUAAUACGAAGGGAGCUAGCGUUGUUCGGAAUUACUGGGCGUAAAGGGCGCGUAGGCGGGUUUCCAAGUCGGGGGUGAAAUUCCAGGGCUCAACCCUGGGACGGCCUUCGAUACUGGGAGCCUGGAGAUCGGGAGAGGUGAGUGGAAUUCCGAGUGUAGAGGUGAAAUUCGUAGAUAUUCGGAGGAACACCAGAAGCGAAGGCGGCUCACUGGCCCGAGACUGACGCUGAGGCGCGAAAGCGUGGGGAGCAAACAGGAUUAGAUACCCCAGUAGUCC